CCUACGGGUGGCAGCAGUGGGGAAUAUUGCACAAUGGGCGAAACCCUGAUGCAGCGACGCCGCGUGAGUGAAGAAGUAUCUAGGUAUGUAAAGCUCCUUCAGUAGGGAAGAAGAAAGACGGUACCUGACUAAGAAGCCUCGACUAACUACGUGACAGCAGCCUCGGUAAUACGGAGGGGGCAAGCGUUAUCCGGAUUUACUGGGUGUAAAGGGAUCGUAGACGGCUUUGCAAGUCUGAAGUGAAAGCCCAGGGCUCAACCCUGGGACUGCUUUGGAAACUGUGGAGCUAGAGUGCAGGAGAGGUAAGUGGAAUUCCUGGUGUAGCGGUGAAAUGCGUAGAUAUUAGGAGGAACUCCAGUGGCGAAGGCAGCUUACUGGAGAGUAACUGACGUUGAGGCUCGAAAGCGUGGGGAGCAAACAGGAUUAGAUACCCCAGUAGUC
This 441-nucleotide ribosomal RNA is filed under the name uncultured bacterium. RNAcentral describes it as "partial 16S ribosomal RNA". It matches the Rfam family "Bacterial small subunit ribosomal RNA", at positions 338 to 795 of the family's 1533-position model. The record is from RNAcentral.